Bacillus rossius redtenbacheri is the source of this 1854-nucleotide long non-coding RNA. RefSeq lists it as uncharacterized. Lineage: Eukaryota; Metazoa; Arthropoda; Insecta; Phasmatodea; Bacillidae. The transcript has 2 exons. The record is from RefSeq and is a predicted model, not a curated record.
UUGAGCAUUAUAGUCGCUCUUUUUUUUUCGGUUUGUAGUAGAUUUUGGUCGAGUGAAAGAUGGAUUUUACAAUGGAGUUUGAUUUAUCAUUUUGAAUUAUUUUCCUAUAUGAUUGUGAAUUAAGAAGCCGAUGAAGAUGCCUGUGAAUACACAUCAAUGUUUUGUGUCUUCGUGCAGGAACAGUAUUACUGUUAAUCCUGAUGUGACAACAUUCAGAUUUCCAUGAAGCCGAAGCAAGUUAUUGAAGUGGAUUGCUGCAAUUGGCUAUGACCUUGAUGCCAGUAAUGCUGAAACAUUUAAAACUAAAUAUGUGUGUUCCGAACAUUUUGAUAUUGGAGCUUUCACUACAUGUGACUGCAUAAAAUUGAAUCGUGGUGCUGCUACAACAUAUUUUAAUUCUGUGGACAGUGAAGUAUGGAUCUAUUGUUAUAAUUUAUUAUGUCUAGAAUGCUGCCAAAUAUAGGUGAAAUGUUUAUGUUACAUAACAUAACUUGUAAGAUCUACUUGUGCAGAUAUAUAUUUUCACCUGCCUCUAAGGUCCUUUGUUAUUCACAGGUAGCAUUUACAUGUGAUGAAGCAGUAUUUAACAUUAUUGGUCAACAUGCAGUCCAUCAUUACAACCUUUGUACAGGCGCAUACAAACAUAUAUGUGUGGGGUAUUUCACACUUUUUAUUUGAUGUUAAAGAUUGGUAUGGUGACCGGGAUACUUUUUUUUAUUAAACCUCCUACACAGUUCUCUACUGUUUCCCUUAUCUGUUGCCUUAACAUUUUUUUCCGAUCAGUCCAAUUCCUUGAAUCACAUUGCAAAAAAAGUCACAAUACAUGGGAUUGGGCCACUCUCUUCAAAGAAUUGUAAUUCGAGUUUAAACAUAGCAAGGCUGACCAUAAAUUGUAGAGGAAAAUUUAAAAUGUUGAUCUUCAACAUAUUUAUAACCUAUGAUCAUGUGAUGUAUAUACAGCUAGUUAGAAAGUAAGUUGUAGUAUAGUAUGCAAUUGAACCUUCAAUAAGUUCUACAUCCACACUUAAAAACUUAUUUUACUUGAUGUUUUAUGUUCAAUAACUAUUCAGUAUAAAGGUUUUUUUUUUACAUUAUAAACUACAAAAGUAUUCCGAUUUGUAAAUGUAAUGAAAUUCCACUGAGCCCUCUACCUUUUUUUUAACUACCAUUUCUGCCGUGUGGCCUUUUUUUUUCUUACUUUUGUGUUCAUUAUAAGUUACAACCACUCAUUUGAUUUAUUGUGUUAAAUUAAAUGAUAUUUAAAAUUGGAUGUCACUUCAUAAGAACAUUCAGGAUUACCUGUAUUCACAGCGCACAAUUAUACAAAAGUUUUUUAUGUAUGUAAAAGUGUUUUACGUAAGACAGUGGACACAUACAUGUAUUGAGUAACAUGAGAAAAUUGAAAUAUCUAAAAUAAAAUUAAAAGGUUACAAGCUUUUAUAUACAUGCAGCUCCCAAAAAGUCUGCAUACUAAAAAAUAACACAUGCUUUUAAAUGAAUUCUUACCAUCUUAUAAACUAGUAGUAUUUUGUUAUUUGGUUUCAAAUGAAUUGUUUUUGGUUAAUUUAUUUGACUGUAGGGAUUAAAUAUCAUUUGUAGAAUAAAGUGUGAAAAGUAAUAUUGAUCAAUUUAACUGUAAGUACAAAAUAUGUGUUACAUUUCUUGUAAGUUAAAAUUGUUCAGGUAUUAUAAAUUAGCUGAAAAAAGCAAACUCAUGACUAGAAUAAAUUGUACUGUUAGGUAUGUUUCGAAGAAAGACUACCUGUUGCAGUCGUUACCAUGUGUAUGUACCACAUUUUUAUUGUCAUUAUAACUGCCAUAAUUUUGUACAAAUAAAUCACUUAAUACAUAAAA